Molecule: ribosomal RNA, 1002 nt
Filed under: Triticum aestivum (bread wheat)
Lineage: Eukaryota; Viridiplantae; Streptophyta; Magnoliopsida; Poales; Poaceae
Description: partial small subunit ribosomal RNA
Source: RNAcentral
AUGCACUCCUCGCAGCCGCCACCUACCUCCCGCCCCGAUUCAGCCGAUCUCGCCGCCAGUGCCCGCGCGCCACCACCCGCUCCUCCUCGCCUUCCAGAUCGCGCCGCCACCUCCCUCCCCAUCCCCUCCUGGAUCUCUCCCUCGGUGAGCCACCGGCGAGCCCCUCUGCUGCCCGCGCAUGCAGAACCUCGCCUCCUGCUGCUCUCCAUCGACCCCUUCCGCGUGCUCGCCGUCAUCGCCUCCCUUCGCCGCAUCGACCCCAAGGUGCUGGCGCAGGCGACCAGGAAGCUGUUCCAGGGUGAGCCGAUGAAGAGGCGGAAGGGAAUUUGGAUCGAUAUCAACAACUACGAGGAGAGCGAGAGGGGCAUCGUGGUGGCCAGCAAAGGGAGCACCAUCACGGGAGCUGCGUCCUCCCGGUCCACGGCCACGUCGGGGAGAUGCCGCCGACCUCCGCUGGCGAGCGACGGCUAUGAGAGUCUGGUGCGGAGGGCGGACUCGAUCAUGAAGUCGCUCUCGUGGUCCAAGGCGGCGCCGGUCACGGAGACGGCCAUCCGCGCCCCCGUCGGCGACAACGCUGUAACUAGCAAGGCUCUGCGCUGGUUGCUGAAGCAGAAGAGAGGGUUGCGUCGUGCGGGCACUGGUGGCCGCCCGGAUCCGUAUGUGUACAUGGCGCCGCCGGAUUCGAGGGUGGAGCCCGAGCCUCCACUGGAGCAUGGAUCAGACGUGCAGGAGGUGGAGCUCCGCAUGGAUCAAGACGUGGUCGUCGUGGGGGCCUGGAUCAUCAAGUACGCAAGCGGCGUCGGGGGCGGUGCAAUGCCAGCUGCUGGACAUACUUCACCCUGGGUUGGUGCUGAUGCACAAGGUGAAUUUCGAUGCCAAGACGGAGUACGACAUGAUCCAGAACUACAGGAUUCUCCUGGAUGUGUUCAACAAGUUGCAGAUAGGCAAGGUAUGGGUGGUGAUUCUCCUGGCUUAGGUCUCUACCCGUGGAUUUAUCCGUGA